GACGAACGCUGGCGGCGUGCUUAACACAUGCAAGUCGAACGGAAAGGCCCUGCUUUUGUGGGGUGCUCGAGUGGCGAACGGGUGAGUAACACGUGAGUAACCUGCCCUUGACUUUGGGAUAACUUCAGGAAACUGGGGCUAAUACCGGAUAGGAGCUCCUGCUGCAUGGUGGGGGUUGGAAAGUUUCGGCGGUUGGGGAUGGACUCGCGGCUUAUCAGCUUGUUGGUGGGGUGGUGGCUUACCAAGGCUUUGACGGGUAGCCGGCCUGAGAGGGUGACCGGCCACAUUGGGACUGAGAUACGGCCCAGACUCCUACGGGAGGCAGCAGUGGGGAAUAUUGCACAAUGGGCGGAAGCCUGAUGCAGCAACGCCGCGUGCGGGAUGACGGCCUUCGUGUUGUAAACCGCUUUCGCCUGUGACGAAGCGUGAGUGACGGUAAUGGGUAAAGAAGCACCGGCUAACUACGUG
RNAcentral lists this ribosomal RNA (468 nucleotides) under uncultured bacterium. RNAcentral describes it as "partial 16S ribosomal RNA". It matches the Rfam family "Bacterial small subunit ribosomal RNA", at positions 28 to 507 of the family's 1533-position model. The record is from RNAcentral.